RNAcentral lists this ribosomal RNA (495 nucleotides) under uncultured bacterium. Its description in RNAcentral is "partial 16S ribosomal RNA". It matches the Rfam family "Bacterial small subunit ribosomal RNA", at positions 28 to 507 of the family's 1533-position model. The record is from RNAcentral.
GACGAACGCUGGCGGCGUGCCUAAUACAUGCAAGUAGAACGCUAACGGAGGAGCUUGUUUCUCUGGCUGAGUUGCGGACGGGUGAGUAACGCGUAGGUAACCUGCCUGGCAGCGGGGGGUAACUUUUGGAAGCGAUAGCUAAUCCCGCAUAAUAUCAGUCGUUCCAUGACAACUGUUUGAUAGGUGCACUUUCACCACUACCAGAUGCCCCUGAGUUGUAUUAGCUAGUUCGUGGGGUAACGGCUCACCAAGGCGACGAUACAUCGCCGACCUGAGAGGGUGAACGGCCAAACUGGGACUGGGGCACGGCCCAGAACACUACGGGAGGGAGCAGGAGGGAAACUUCGGCAAUGGAGGGAAGUCUGACCGAGCAACGACGCGUGAGUGAAGGAGGGUUUCGGGGCGUAAAGGUCUGUUGGAAGAGAAGGACGAGUGGGAGAGUGGAAAGUUCACACUGUGACGGUACCUAAAGAAUAAGCGACGGCUAACUACGUG